RNAcentral lists this ribosomal RNA (465 nucleotides) under uncultured bacterium. Its description in RNAcentral is "partial 16S ribosomal RNA". It matches the Rfam family "Bacterial small subunit ribosomal RNA", at positions 28 to 507 of the family's 1533-position model. The record is from RNAcentral.
GACGAACGCUGGCGGCGUGCUUAACACAUGCAAGUCGAACGGAAAGGCCCCUUUGGGGGUACUCGAGUGGCGAACGGGUGAGUAACACGUGAGUAACCUGCCCUUGACUUCGGGAUAACCUCAGGAAACUGGGGCUAAUACCGGAUAGGAAUCCUUGCUGCAUGGUGGGGGUUGGAAAGCUUCUGUGGCUUUGGAUGGACUGGCGGCGUAUCAGCUUGUUGGUGGGGUAGUGGCUUACCAAGGCUUUGACCGGAAGCCGGACUGAGGGGGUGACCGGCCACAUUGAGACUGAGGUAAGGCCCAGGCUCCUACGGGAGGAAGAAGUGGGGAAUAUUGAACAAUGGGCGGAAGCCUGAUGCAGCAAGGCCGCGGGCGGGAUGACGGCCUUCGGGUUGUAAACCGCUUUCAGCAGGGGCGAAGCUUGUGGUGACGGUACCUGAAGAAGAAGCACCGGCUAACUACGUG